GGGAUCGAUUCUCGUCGGCGCCGGUGACGAUGAGAGUGUUGUACGACCAGCGCGGCGGCGCGAUCGUCGCCGCAUUGGUGCUUCUUGUUCCGGCGUUCUUUCCGGCGAUGUUUUCGCCGCUCGGCCAUGCCUCUCCUUCUAUCUUCUCGGAGUGGAAUGCUCCCAAACCUAGGCACAUGUCACUGAUGAAGGGUGCUCUACAACGCCAAAUAUCU
This 215-nucleotide unclassified non-coding RNA is filed under the name Hevea brasiliensis (rubber tree). The record is from RNAcentral. Lineage: Eukaryota; Viridiplantae; Streptophyta; Magnoliopsida; Malpighiales; Euphorbiaceae.